Molecule: ribosomal RNA, 405 nt
Filed under: uncultured Mucor
Lineage: Eukaryota; Fungi; Mucoromycota; Mucoromycetes; Mucorales; Mucoraceae
Description: partial small subunit ribosomal RNA
Rfam family: Eukaryotic small subunit ribosomal RNA
Source: RNAcentral
GCUUGUCUCAAAGAUUAAGCCAUGCAUGUCUAAGUAUAAACGCUUUAUACUGUGAAACUGCGAAUGGCUCAUUAUAUCAGUUAUAGACUAUUCAAUAAUCUCUUACUACUUGGAUAACCGUAGUAAUUCUAGAGCUAAUACAUGCAUAAAUACCCAGACUUACGAAUGGGUGCACUUAUUAGAUAAAGCCAACGCUGGGUAAAACCAGUUUCCCUUGGUGAUUCAUAAUAAUUAAGCGGAUCGCAUGGCCUUGUGCUAGCGACAGUCCACUCGAUUUUCUGCCCUAUCAUGGUUGAGAUUGUAAGAUAGAGGCUUACAAUGCCUACAACGGGUAACGGGGAAUUAGGGUUCGAUUCCGGAGAGGGAGCCUGAGAAACGGCUACCACAUCCAAGGAAGGCAGCAGG